Molecule: ribosomal RNA, 497 nt
Filed under: uncultured bacterium
Lineage: Bacteria
Description: partial 16S ribosomal RNA
Rfam family: Bacterial small subunit ribosomal RNA
Source: RNAcentral
GAUGAACGCUGGCGGCGUGCCUAAUACAUGCAAGUCGAGCGAACAGACGAGGAGCUUGCUCCUCUGACGUUAGCGGCGGACGGGUGAGUAACACGUGGAUAACCUACCUAUAAGACUGGGAUAACUUCGGGAAACCGGAGCUAAUACCGGAUAAUAUAUUGAACCGCAUGGUUCAAUAGUGAAAGACGGUUUUGCUGUCACUUAUAGAUGGAUCCGCGCCGCAUUAGCUAGUUGGUAAGGUAACGGCUUACCAAGACAACGAUGCGUAGCCGACCUGAGAGGGUGAUCGGCCAAACUGGAACUGGAACACGGUCCAGACUCCUACGGGAGGCAGCAGUAGGGAAUCUUCCGCAAUGGGCGAAAACCUGACGGAGCAACGCCGCGUGGGUGAUGAAGGUCUUCGGAUCGUAAAACUCUGUUAGUAGGGAAGAACAAAUGUGUAAGUAACUAUGCACGUCUUGACGGUACCUAAUCAGAAAGCCACGGCUAACUACGUG